This 785-nucleotide long non-coding RNA is filed under the name Apteryx owenii (little spotted kiwi). Its description in RNAcentral is "lncRNA (ENSAOWG00000011244.1)". The record is from RNAcentral. Lineage: Eukaryota; Metazoa; Chordata; Aves; Apterygiformes; Apterygidae.
UUGGUGUAGAUUUUCAUGUUAAAAAAAAAGAAAAAAAGAAAAAAAAAAGAAGGAAAAAAGCUACCGAGUUCAUCACAGCCAGAGUGGGAUUGUUAAGGGCAUAAGGGGAUCCGCAAUUAUUAGCACUUUUCUUCCUCCCGAGAGCCAGCUGGAAGAUGCCCUGGGGAGAUUCGUUAGAGGCUCCCAUUGCAGUGACUGCCGGCACCGGUCAGCCCCAGCCACGGUUUCGUCCCUCACCCGCGAUGCUGCACGCGUGAGCUGCCCAGCAGGGAACCGCUGCGGCCCCCCGGAGCGUGCUGCUGAGACCGGCGCACUCGGCACACGUGGUGGCCGGCACCGGCUGCAGAAUGGAAAGUCUUUCCCCCUGCCAAGUCCCUGUUAGACAGACGCUGCAGUACCGCACACGUUACAAAGAGCUUCUGGAUGGAUCUACGCUGAUGGAUCCAGCACCUGUAGAGAUUUUCUCCUUAAACACAGAACUGAGUGGAGCAAAACCGCCCGCUACCCAAGGCUGCCUGCACUGGUUUGGGUAAACAAGACCCUGUGCCUGCUGCAGUCCCUGCUAGUGCUCCUGGGGUUUCCUCCUCAGCUGUCUCACCUUGCAGAAUUAAGAUUUAAGCACAGUAAAGUCUUCAAAUCAGGUAUUUCCAAAGCGAGUGGAACAAGCUGGAGAAAGAGCAUCUGUUGCUUCAGACUUUGCUCAUUUGGCACUUGCAGUAUUCAGAGGCUGCAAAACGUGCACUCACUGUUGCUGCUGAAAAAAUAAAAUACAAAAUACAAUUCUG